Molecule: ribosomal RNA, 864 nt
Filed under: Bacillus sp. UASWS1182
Lineage: Bacteria; Bacillati; Bacillota; Bacilli; Caryophanales; Bacillaceae
Description: bacterial SSU rRNA
Rfam family: Bacterial small subunit ribosomal RNA
Source: RNAcentral
UGCAGUCGAGCGGACAGAUGGGAGCUUGCUCCCUGAUGUUAGCGGCGGACGGGUGAGUAACACGUGGGUAACCUGCCUGUAAGACUGGGAUAACUCCGGGAAACCGGGGCUAAUACCGGAUGGUUGUUUGAACCGCAUGGUUCAGACAUAAAAGGUGGCUUCGGCUACCACUUACAGAUGGACCCGCGGCGCAUUAGCUAGUUGGUGAGGUAACGGCUCACCAAGGCGACGAUGCGUAGCCGACCUGAGAGGGUGAUCGGCCACACUGGGACUGAGACACGGCCCAGACUCCUACGGGAGGCAGCAGUAGGGAAUCUUCCGCAAUGGACGAAAGUCUGACGGAGCAACGCCGCGUGAGUGAUGAAGGUUUUCGGAUCGUAAAGCUCUGUUGUUAGGGAAGAACAAGUGCCGUUCAAAUAGGGCGGCACCUUGACGGUACCUAACCAGAAAGCCACGGCUAACUACGUGCCAGCAGCCGCGGUAAUACGUAGGUGGCAAGCGUUGUCCGGAAUUAUUGGGCGUAAAGGGCUCGCAGGCGGUUUCUUAAGUCUGAUGUGAAAGCCCCCGGCUCAACCGGGGAGGGUCAUUGGAAACUGGGGAACUUGAGUGCAGAAGAGGAGAGUGGAAUUCCACGUGUAGCGGUGAAAUGCGUAGAGAUGUGGAGGAACACCAGUGGCGAAGGCGACUCUCUGGUCUGUAACUGACGCUGAGGAGCGAAAGCGUGGGGAGCGAACAGGAUUAGAUACCCUGGUAGUCCACGCCGUAAACGAUGAGUGCUAAGUGUUAGGGGGUUUCCGCCCCUUAGUGCUGCAGCUAACGCAUUAAGCACUCCGCCUGGGGAGUACGGUCGCAAGACUGAAACUC